CGGGUGCACUGAUCCAGCCGGGCCUUUCCCUCUGUGGAACCCCAUGGCCUUCACCGGCUGUGGUGGGGAAACAGGACUUUUACUUUGAAAAAAUUAGAGUGCUCCAGGCAGGCCUAUGCUCGAAUACAUUAGCAUGGAAUAAUAGAAUAGGACGUGUGGUUCUAUUUUGUUGGUUUCUAGGACCGCCGUAAUGAUUAAUAGGGACAGUCGGGGGCAUCAGUAUUCAAUUGUCAGAGGUGAAAUUCUUGGAUCUAUUGAAGACUAACUACUGCGAAAGCAUUUGCCAAGGAUGUUUUCAUUGAUAAGGAACGAAAGUUAGGGGAUCGAAGACGAUCAGAUACCGUCGUAGUCUUAACUAUAAACUAUGCCGACUAGGGAUCGGACGAUGUUAUUCUUUGACGCGUUCGGCACCUUUCGAGAAAUCAAAGUGCUUGGGCUCCAGGGGGAGUAUGGUCGCAAGGCUGAAACUUAAAGAAAUUGACGGAAGGGCACCACCAGGGGUGGAACCUGCGGCUUAAUUUGACUCAACACGGGGAAACUCACCAGGUCCAGACACAGUGAGGAUUGACAGAUUGAGAGCUCUUUCUUGAUUCUGUGGGUGGUGGUGCAUGGCCGUUCUUAGUUGGUGGAGUGAUUUGUCUGCUUAAUUGCGAUAACGAACGAGACCUUAACCUGCUAAAUAGCCCGUACUGCUUUGGCAGUUCGCCGGCUUCUUAGAGGGACUAUCGG
RNAcentral lists this ribosomal RNA (729 nucleotides) under uncultured eukaryote. RNAcentral's name for it is "SSU rRNA". It matches the Rfam family "Eukaryotic small subunit ribosomal RNA", at positions 669 to 1426 of the family's 1831-position model. The record is from RNAcentral.